CCUACGGGUGGCAGCAGUGAGGAAUAUUGGUCCAUGGACGAGAGUCUGAACCAGCCAAGUAGCGUGAAGGAUGACUGCCCUAUGGGUUGUAAACUUCUUUUAUAUGGGAAUAAAAUGUUCCACGUGUGGGAUUUUGUAUGUACCAUAUGAAUAAGGAUCGGCUAACUCCGUGCCAGCAGCCGCGGUAAUACGGAGGAUCCGAGCGUUAUCCGGAUUUAUUGGGUUUAAAGGGAGCGUAGAUGGGUUGUUAAGUCAGUUGUGAAAUUUUGCGGCUCAACCGUAAAAUUGCAAUUGAUACUGGCAGCCUUGAGUACAGUUGAGGUAGGCGGAAUUCGUGGUGUAGCGGUGAAAUGCUUAGAUAUCACGCAGAACUCCGAUUGCGAAGGCAGCGUACCGGCGCCAGACUGACGCUGAGGCACGAAAGCGUGGGGAUCGAACAGGAUUAGAUACCCGAGUAGUC
This 460-nucleotide ribosomal RNA is filed under the name uncultured bacterium. Its description in RNAcentral is "partial 16S ribosomal RNA". It matches the Rfam family "Bacterial small subunit ribosomal RNA", at positions 338 to 795 of the family's 1533-position model. The record is from RNAcentral.